CAGCAGCCGCGGGAAUACGAAGGGGGCUAGCGUUGCUCGGAAUUACUGGGCGUAAAGGGAGCGUAGGCGGAUCGUUUAGUCAGGGUUGAAAUCCCGGGGCUCAACCUCGGAACUGCCUUUGAUACUGGCGAUCUUGAGUAUGGGAGAGGUGUGUGGAACUCCGAGUGUAGAGGUGAAAUUCGUAGAUAUUCGGAAGAACACCAGUGGCGAAGGCGACACACUGGCCCAUUACUGACGCUGAGGCUCGAAAGCGUGGGGAGCAGACAGGAUUAGAUACCCGGGUAGUCCCUGUCUCUUAUAA
This 301-nucleotide ribosomal RNA is filed under the name uncultured bacterium. RNAcentral's name for it is "partial 16S ribosomal RNA". It matches the Rfam family "Bacterial small subunit ribosomal RNA", at positions 509 to 809 of the family's 1533-position model. The record is from RNAcentral.